Molecule: small RNA, 174 nt
Filed under: Streptomyces yokosukanensis
Lineage: Bacteria; Bacillati; Actinomycetota; Actinomycetes; Kitasatosporales; Streptomycetaceae
Description: c-di-AMP sequence
Rfam family: c-di-AMP riboswitch aptamer (ydaO/yuaA leader)
About the family: This family represents a conserved RNA structure found upstream of the ydaO and yuaA genes in Bacillus subtilis and related genes in other bacteria. The ydaO/yuaA element is thought to act as a genetic "off" switch for the ydaO and yuaA genes in its native state. It is believed that the element may be triggered during osmotic shock leading to activation of ydaO, a predicted amino acid transporter gene, and members of the yuaA-yubG operon which code for KtrA and KtrB K+ transporters.
Source: Rfam by way of RNAcentral
UCGCGUCAAGCGCCGUAGGCAGGAGCGGGGGACCCAAGGUAAGUGCCAGGCCCGGCGGUUGACGCCGGUGCCGGCUAGGGGUGAAGCCGCGCCUCGCGAGAGCGAGAGCGCGGCCGGGCAACUCAACCGGCCCGAACCCGACAGCUCACCUCGCAGGCGUCGGUGAGGGGAUCG